UACAGAGGUGGCAAGCGUUGUUCGGAAUUACUGGGCGUAAAGGGCGAGUAGGUGGCCAUCUAAGUCAGACGUGAAAUCCCCUGGCUUAACCUGGGAACUGCGUCUGAUACUGGACGGCUUGAGUAUGGGAGAGGAACGUAGAAUUCCAGGUGUAGCGGUGAAAUGCGUAGAUAUCUGGAGGAAUACCGGUGGCGAAGGCGGCGUUCUGGACCAUUACUGACACUGAAUCGCGAAAGCUAGGGGAGCAAACGGG
Molecule: ribosomal RNA, 253 nt
Filed under: uncultured bacterium
Lineage: Bacteria
Description: partial 16S ribosomal RNA
Rfam family: Bacterial small subunit ribosomal RNA
Source: RNAcentral